RNAcentral lists this ribosomal RNA (176 nucleotides) under uncultured Porphyrobacter sp. RNAcentral describes it as "partial 16S ribosomal RNA". It matches the Rfam family "Bacterial small subunit ribosomal RNA", at positions 351 to 544 of the family's 1533-position model. Lineage: Bacteria; Pseudomonadati; Pseudomonadota; Alphaproteobacteria; Sphingomonadales; Erythrobacteraceae. The record is from RNAcentral.
GCAGUGGGGAAUAUUGGACAAUGGGCGAAAGCCUGAUCCAGCAAUGCCGCCUGAUUAAUGAAGGCCUUAGGGUUGUAAAGCUCUUUUACCAGGGAUGAUAAUGACAGUACCUGGAGAAUAAGCUCCGGCUAACUGCGUGCCAGCAGCCGCGGUAAUACGGAGGGAGCUAGCGUUGU